RNAcentral lists this small nuclear RNA (18 nucleotides) under Arabidopsis thaliana (thale cress). RNAcentral describes it as "snRNA_15513". Lineage: Eukaryota; Viridiplantae; Streptophyta; Magnoliopsida; Brassicales; Brassicaceae. The record is from RNAcentral.
UGCUGAUGUGUAAUAUUG